Molecule: ribosomal RNA, 313 nt
Filed under: uncultured Arcobacter sp.
Lineage: Bacteria; Pseudomonadati; Campylobacterota; Epsilonproteobacteria; Campylobacterales; Arcobacteraceae
Description: bacterial SSU rRNA
Rfam family: Bacterial small subunit ribosomal RNA
Source: RNAcentral
AGUGAACGCUGGCGGCGUGCUUAACACAUGCAAGUCGAACGAGAACGGGUCUUAGCUUGCUAAGAUUAUCAGCUAAGUGGCGCACGGGUGAGUAAUAUAUAGUUAACCUGCCCUAGAGAGAGGGAUAACGUUUGGAAACGGACGCUAACACCUCAUAUGCCUUUAAGUCAUAAGACUGCAAGGGAAAUAUUUAUAGCUCUAGGAUCGGCCUGUACGGUAUCAGUUUGUUGGUGAGGUAAUGGCUCACCAAGACUAUGACGCCUAACUGGUUUGAGAGGACGAUCAGUCACACUGGAACUGGGACACGGUCCAG